RNAcentral lists this ribosomal RNA (384 nucleotides) under Babesia venatorum (nom. ined.). RNAcentral describes it as "SSU rRNA". It matches the Rfam family "Eukaryotic small subunit ribosomal RNA", at positions 452 to 888 of the family's 1831-position model. Lineage: Eukaryota; Apicomplexa; Aconoidasida; Piroplasmida; Babesiidae. The record is from RNAcentral.
UGACACAGGGAGGUAGUGACAAGAAAUAACAAUACAGGGCAAUUGUCUUGUAAUUGGAAUGAUGGUGACCUAAACCCUCACCAGAGUAACAAUUGGAGGGCAAGUCUGGUGCCAGCAGCCGCGGUAAUUCCAGCUCCAAUAGCGUAUAUUAAACUUGUUGCAGUUAAAAAGCUCGUAGUUGAAUUUCUGCGUUAUCGAGUUAUUGACUCUUGUCUUUAAUCGAUUUCGCUUUUGGGAUUUAUCCUCUUUUUACUUUGAGAAAAUUAGAGUGUUUCAAGCAGACUUUUGUCUUGAAUACUUCAGCAUGGAAUAAUAGAGUAAGGACUUUGGUUCUAUUUUGUUGGUUUUUGAACCUUAGUAAUGGUUAAUAGGAACGGUUGGGGG